RNAcentral lists this non-coding RNA (27 nucleotides) under Mus musculus (house mouse). The record is from RNAcentral. Lineage: Eukaryota; Metazoa; Chordata; Mammalia; Rodentia; Muridae.
UACACUUACCUAGCCAGGGUCUCCUGA